RNAcentral lists this ribosomal RNA (270 nucleotides) under uncultured bacterium. Its description in RNAcentral is "partial 16S ribosomal RNA". It matches the Rfam family "Bacterial small subunit ribosomal RNA", at positions 88 to 354 of the family's 1533-position model. The record is from RNAcentral.
CCGGCGACCGGCGCACGGGUGAGUAACACGUAUGAAACCUGCCCGUAGCAGGGGGAUAAGCGGAAGAAAUUCCGUCUAAUACCGCGUAACAACCCAUGGAGGCAUCUCUGUGGGUUUAAAGGAAGCGAUUCCGGCUACGGAUGGUCAUGCGUCGCAUUAGCUUGUUGGCGGGGUAACGGCCCACCAAGGCGACGAUGCGUAGGGGUUCUGAGAGGAAGGUCCCCCACACUGGAACUGAGACACGGUCCAGACUCCUACGGGAGGCAGCAG